Molecule: ribosomal RNA, 684 nt
Filed under: uncultured bacterium
Lineage: Bacteria
Description: partial 16S ribosomal RNA
Source: RNAcentral
GAAUNUAGCUCUGUACUCGCGAACUGCAUCUAGAUUAGAGUUUGAUCAUGGCUCAGAGUGAACGCUGGCGGUAGUGCCUAACACAUGGCAAGUCGUAACGGCAGCACAGGAGAGCUUGCUCUCUGGGUGGCGAGUGGCGGACGGGUGAGGAAUACAUCGGAAUCUACUCUGUCGUGAGGGAUAACGUAUUGGAAUACUUACGCUAAUACCGCAGUACGUACCCUACGGGUNGACAAGUCAGGNGACCUUCGGGGCCGUUGUCGCGGANUUGAACUGAGCCGACUGNUCGGAUUAGCCUUAGUUUGGCGGGGGCCUACACAGGGCCCCAUUUNUUUUGGGGGCCGUAACGUAAGCUCCGNGUUAGACUNGGUGUCGAUGGAGNAAGGGGAACUGAAUCAUGCCAGACAUAGCGUGNGAAACCUGGAGGGAACCAUACCGUGAGUCCCAAGGUANAUCAGUUCCCCCAUUAAUACGUGGUGAGAAGAUGACCAANGGCAUAGCCUUGGGCGGCGGAAAAUCAAUUCAUUUAUGGNGUAGUCCAUAAAGCUUAGUGGUGACCGGCCCACAGAGGACCCCUCUUGGAAAAGUUCCCCCAUAGCCCCCACUUUAUCCCCCGAGCCCGCGAUUAUGCUAGCUUUUUANCUACAGGAAUAAUAGGGNNACCAUUAUCNAGGUNGGUUUAUG